GGGUUGUGAGGUUAAGCGACUAAGCGUACACGGUGGAUGCCCUGGCAGUCAGAGGCGAUGAAGGACGUGCUAAUCUGCGAUAAGCGUCGGUAAGGUGAUAUGAACCGUUAUAACCGGCGAUUUCCGAAUGGGGAAACCCAGUGCAAUUCGUUGCACUAUCGUUAAGUGAAUACAUAGCUUAACGAAGCGAACCGGGGGAACUGAAACAUCUAAGUACCCCGAGGAAAAGAAAUCAACCGAGAUUCCCCCAGUAGCGGCGAGCGAACGGGGAGCAGCCCAGAGUCUGAAUCAGCAUGUGUGUUAGUGGAAGCGUCUGGAAAGUCGCACGAUACAGGGUGAAAGUCCCGUACACCAAAAUGCACAUGUUGUGAACUCGAAGAGUAGGGCGGGACACGUGGUAUCCUGUCUGAAUAUGGGGGGACCAUCCUCCAAGGCUAAAUACUCCUGACUGACCGAUAGUGAACCAGUACCGUGAGGGAAAGGCGAAAAGAACCCCGGCGAGGGGAGUGAAAAAGAACCUGAAACCGUGUACGUACAAGCAGUGGGAGCCUCUUUAUGGGGUGACUGCGUACCUUUUGUAUAAUGGGUCAGCGACUUAUAUUCUGUAGCAAGGUUAACCGAAUAGGGGAGCCGAAGGGAAACCGAGUCUUAACUGGGCGUUAAGUUGCAGGGUAUAGACCCGAAACCCGGUGAUCUAGCCAUGGGCAGGUUGAAGGUUGGGUAACACUAACUGGAGGACCGAACCGACUAAUGUUGAAAAAUUAGCGGAUGACCUGUGGCUGGGGGUGAAAGGCCAAUCAAACCGGGAGAUAGCUGGUUCUCCCCGAAAGCUAUUUAGGUAGCGCCUCGUGAAUUCAUCUUCGGGGGUAGAGCACUGUUUCGGCUAGGGGGUCAUCCCGACUUACCAACCCGAUGCAAACUACGAAUACCGAAGAAUGUUAUCACGGGAGACACACGGCGGGUGCUAACGUCCGUCGUGAAGAGGGAAACAACCCAGACCGCCAGCUAAGGUCCCAAAGUCACAGUUAAGUGGGAAACGAUGUGGGAAGGCUCAGACAGCCAGGAUGUUGGCUUAGAAGCAGCCAUCAUUUAAAGAAAGCGUAAUAGCUCACUGGUCGAGUCGGCCUGCGCGGAAGAUGUAACGGGGCUAAACUGUGCACCGAAGCUGCGGCAGCGACACUAUGUGUUGUUGGGUAGGGGAGCGUUCUGUAAGCCGUUGAAGGUGUGUCGUGAGGCAUGCUGGAGGUAUCAGAAGUGCGAAUGCUGACAUAAGUAACGAUAAAGCGGGUGAAAAACCCGCUCGCCGGAAGACCAAGGGUUCCUGUCCAACGUUAAUCGGGGCAGGGUGAGUCGACCCCUAAGGCGAGGCCGAAAGGCGUAGUCGAUGGGAAACAGGUUAAUAUUCCUGUACUUGGUGUUACUGCGAAGGGGGGACGGAGAAGGCUAUGUUGGCCGGGCGACGGUUGUCCCGGUUUAAGCGUGUAGGUUUGCAGACCAGGUAAAUCCGGUCUGCUUCAAGACUGAGACGUGAUGACGAGGCACUACGGUGCUGAAGUAACAAAUGCCCUGCUUCCAGGAAAAGCCUCUAAGCAUCAGGUAACAC
RNAcentral lists this ribosomal RNA (1603 nucleotides) under Salmonella enterica subsp. diarizonae serovar 61:z52:z53. RNAcentral describes it as "partial 23S ribosomal RNA". It matches the Rfam family "Bacterial large subunit ribosomal RNA", at positions 1 to 1637 of the family's 2925-position model. Lineage: Bacteria; Pseudomonadati; Pseudomonadota; Gammaproteobacteria; Enterobacterales; Enterobacteriaceae. The record is from RNAcentral.